This 497-nucleotide ribosomal RNA is filed under the name uncultured bacterium. Its description in RNAcentral is "partial 16S ribosomal RNA". It matches the Rfam family "Bacterial small subunit ribosomal RNA", at positions 28 to 507 of the family's 1533-position model. The record is from RNAcentral.
GAUGAACGCUGGCGGCGUGCCUAAUACAUGCAAGUCGAGCAAACAGGUGAGGAGCUUGCUCCUCUGACGUUAGCGGCGGACGGGUGAGUAACACGUGGAUAACCUACCUAUAAGACUGGGAUAACUUCGGGAAACCGGAGCUAAUACCGGAUAAUAUAUUGAACCGCAUGGUUCAAUAGUGAAAGACGGUUUUGCUGUCACUUAUAGAUGGAUCCGCGCCGCAUUAGCUAGUUGGUAAGGUAACGGCUUACCAAGGCAACGAUGCGUAGCCGACCUGAGAGGGUGAUCGGCCACACUGGAACUGAGACACGGUCCAGACUCCUACGGGAGGCAGCAGUAGGGAAUCUUCCGCAAUGGGCGAAAGCCUGACGGAGCAACGCCGCGUGAGUGAUGAAGGUCUUCGGAUCGUAAAACUCUGUUAUUAGGGAAGAACAAAUGUGUAAGUAACUAUGCACGUCUUGACGGUACCUAAUCAGAAAGCCACGGCUAACUACGUG